CUGUUGGGUCCCCAGUAAGAAAGGGACAUUCAGCCAGGCAGUUCUACAGUGUGUUUCCAUCUCUGGGGAUCAGUCUCCUGAGAGGAGGGUGUUGAUGUUUUCAGAUAAGAAAGGAAUGCAUCUCCCUGUGACUCCCAGGGCCCAUGACUGCAUUUGGGUGGUGUCUGAAUUGCAAAAUUAAUGAAAGGCACACUACUCCAUGUAUUGACACGUCUGAAGAUGAUGAGGCACGAACGUGAAUUGCAUCUGUCUCCUCCCCACGUCCCCUGAUGACAUGCUGAGUGGAUCCCAUAGGUUGCUGCUCUAGUUGGAUAUAGAAAGGUCCAGUUUUAUCUCUUGUUUCAUUUCCUCCCUCUGCCCUGCACAGGUUUGACUCGGCCCGAGGGGUUUGAAGUGAAGAGAGAACUUGGUCUGUCUGAAGGAUCCCUUCUCCUCCUCCCCCUUCUUUCUCCCCUCCUCUCUCCUCAGGCAACCCCAGGAACAUCACUGACACUGUGGCACAGCCCUGGGAUGGCCUGCACACAGAAGAUGACGUGAGGGUGUUCCAUGGAGUAUGCGGCAGCCCUGUGUGCUGGGACAGAAAAAAGGGACUGGAGAAAAGGAACACGUUUGUUUUUACUCAACCAGAACUGCGCGAGUCCUCUCUCAGCGAAUACUGGUUCGUCUGCACGCAUGCCAGCACAGCUGCCAACCUGGAACACAGCCCUUUCCAAGAAAGCCCAGGAGAGCAGCCAACUGUUGACUCACCUGCCAGACACGGGGAUACUGCAGCCAAGAUGCCUCGGGGCCCUUGCAGGAGGAUUGGCAGGGCAGACCCAUGGUGGGGCACACACACGCGGCUCUGUGGGGUGCUUCAAAGGGCCAGACCUUCUUUCCUGAGUGCUUCAAGUUCCAGAGGUUAAAGACAACCAGAUGGGCUUGUCCCCUCCCCCUCCUCCUCUGUUCUUCAGCCCUGGAAGUUUCUGCAGGAGACUGUCUUCCUCUGCAUUUCCAUUUGGGUGGCAGGCAGUAUUCUAAGAAAGCCCCCAUGAUUUUCUGCCCCCACUCCUGCCCUGGUGUGCACUCUCCAUUGGGACUGAGAAUGUAAUGGACAGCACUGCUCUGGUUAGAUUGUAUUAUACGAUGCAGCUGACCUUAAAGAAAGGAGAUGUUCCUGGUGGUCUGGUCCAAUCACAAGAUCCCUUUAAAGGCAGAGUUUUUGUCUGGCUGGUGACAGAAGAGCAUGUGAGAGGUUCAAAGCUGGAGGGUUUGGCCCACCCUUUCUGGCUCGAAGAUGGAGGAAGCCCCAUGGCAAGACAUGCAGGCAGCUUCUAGAAGCUGAGUAGCCUCAUGUCCAGCAAAGAACCAGGGGCUUCAGACCCACAAUAGCAAGGAGUUGAAUUCUCUCAACGAUGAACAUGAACUUGCACAUGGCUUCUUCCUUAGAGCCUCAGACAAGAACUGGGUCCAGUGAGCACCUUGACUUCAAAAUUCUGAUACCCUGAGCAGCAAAAACAUCUGAGUUUACCCAGACUGUGACCUACGGAAUGCCACCAUGUUUCAAGGACACUGAAGGGGAGGUCUGCUGGGCAAGAACUGGGGCCUGUCACCAACAACAGUACCAACUUGCCAGCCAUAUGAUUGAGCCACCCUGGAAGUUGACUUCUGGUCCCAGUCAAGCCUUCAGAUGACAUUAGCCCGGGCGGAAAUCUUAACUGCAACCUUGGGAGAUGGAUGGCAGGUCAGAACCACAUAGUCAAGCUUCUCUCCAACUCCUGUCUCACAGAAACUGUGGGAGAUGCUGCAUGUUUAUUGUUACCCUAAGCUAUUACAUUUUGGGGUAAUCAUUAAGCUGUACUAGGUAACUAAUAUGCUAUAGUAAUUAAUACUAAUAUUUAAUUUAACACUAAUAUUUACCCAGGACUUUUCGAGUUGGAAGUGAUGAAAAUCCAGUUCACUGGUGAGAAAGGGAGAGAGAGAGAGAGAG
This is a long non-coding RNA of Herpailurus yagouaroundi (jaguarundi), 1966 nucleotides long. RefSeq lists it as uncharacterized. The record is from RefSeq and is a predicted model, not a curated record. The transcript has 3 exons. Lineage: Eukaryota; Metazoa; Chordata; Mammalia; Carnivora; Felidae.